RNAcentral lists this unclassified non-coding RNA (168 nucleotides) under fungal sp. RNAcentral's name for it is "partial internal transcribed spacer region". The stretch from base 1 to 46 matches the Rfam family "Eukaryotic small subunit ribosomal RNA", at positions 1786 to 1831 of the family's 1831-position model. The record is from RNAcentral. Lineage: Eukaryota; Fungi.
AAGUCGUAACAAGGUUUCCGUAGGUGAACCUGCGGAAGGAUCAUUAAAAAAAAUAUUUUUAAAAACUAGUGAACUUGUAGCCUUUAAGGCAAAUAUCUAUACAACUUUUAUAUAUUUUUAAAGUUAUUUUAGUAUAUACAACUUUUAGCAACGGAUCUCUAGGUUCUC